AACAUCGCGCACCUGCGGGAACCUGCGGAGGGAUCAUUACAGAGUUCGUGCCCUCGCGGGUAGAUCUCCCACCCUUGUGUAUUUUCUACAUCUUGUUGCUUUGGCAGGCCGUUGGUUCGCCAACCACCGGCUCGCGGGCUGGUGCGUGCCUGCCAGAGGACCUCUCAAACUCGGUUUGUUAGUGUCGUCUGAGUACCAUAACAAUCGUUAAAACUUUUAACAAUGGAUCUCAGAUCGGAA
RNAcentral lists this unclassified non-coding RNA (240 nucleotides) under soil metagenome. Its description in RNAcentral is "partial contains 5.8S ribosomal RNA, internal transcribed spacer 2, and large subunit ribosomal RNA". The record is from RNAcentral.